Molecule: long non-coding RNA, 206 nt
Filed under: Mytilus galloprovincialis (Mediterranean mussel)
Lineage: Eukaryota; Metazoa; Mollusca; Bivalvia; Mytilida; Mytilidae
Source: RNAcentral
GCCCACUCUAAAUAAAGCUUAUUUAUUAUAUAACUUGCUUAUAUUUAUUCUAAAUAGAUAACCAUUUAUUGUUAAUGUGUUAGAGCUAUUUAAGUUAUCUAAAUUAUCUAAUAUAAAAAGAGAUAAUUAAGUAAGUAAGUAAAUUUUAUUUAGAGUCGGCAUACCGGUAUAUUUACAUAAUAACAGAGAAAACAUGAGCUCUGGUG